CAGUAGCCGCGGUAAUACGUAGGGUGCAAGCGUUAAUCGGAAUUACUGGGCGUAAAGCGUGCGUAGGCGGUUCGUUAAGUCUGUUGUGAAAUCCCCGGGCUCAACCUGGGAAUGGCAAUGGAUACUGGCAAGCUAGAGUGUGUCAGAGGAUGGUGGAAUUCCCGGUGUAGCGGUGAAAUGCGUAGAGAUCGGGAGGAACAUCAGUGGCGAAGGCGGCCAUCUGGGACAACACUGACGCUGAGGCGCGAAAGCGUGGGGAGCAAACAGGAUUAGAUACCCCCGUAGUCCCUGUCUCUUAUAC
RNAcentral lists this ribosomal RNA (301 nucleotides) under uncultured bacterium. RNAcentral describes it as "partial 16S ribosomal RNA". It matches the Rfam family "Bacterial small subunit ribosomal RNA", at positions 509 to 807 of the family's 1533-position model. The record is from RNAcentral.